GGUAGAGUUUGAUCCUGGCUCAGAUUGAACGCUGGCGGCAUGCCUUACACAUGCAAGUCGAACGGCAGCGCGGGGCAACCUGGCGGCGAGUGGCGAACGGGUGAGUAAUAUAUCGGAACGUACCCUGGAGUGGGGGAUAACGCAGCGAAAGUUGCGCUAAUACCGCAUACGAUCUAAGGAUGAAAGUGGGGGACUCGCAAGAGCCUCAUGCUCCUGGAGCGGCCGAUAUCUGAUUAGCUAGUUGGUAGGGUAAAGGCCUACCAAGGCAUCGAUCAGUAGCUGGUCUGAGAGGACGACCAGCCACACUGGAACUGAGACACGGUCCAGACUCCUACGGGAGGCAGCAGUGGGGAAUUUUGGACAAUGGGCGCAAGCCUGAUCCAGCAAUGCCGCGUGAGUGAAGAAGGCCUUCGGGUUGUAAAGCUCUUUUGUCAGGGAAGAAACGGUGGUUCCUAAUACGGGCUGCUAAUGACGGUACCUGAAGAAUAAGCACCGGCUAACUACGUGCCAGCAGCCGCGGUAAUACGUAGGGUGCAAGCGUUAAUCGGAAUUACUGGGCGUAAAGCGUGCGCAGGCGGUUUUGUAAGUUUGUCGUGAAAUCCCCGGGCUCAACCUGGGAAUGGCGAUGAAGACUGCAAGGCUAGAAUCUGGCAGAGGGGGGUAGAAUUCCACGUGUAGCAGUGAAAUGCGUAGAGAUGUGGAGGAACACCGAUGGCGAAGGCAGCCCCCUGGGUCAAGAUUGACGCUCAUGCACGAAAGCGUGGGGAGCAAACAGGAUUAGAUACCCUGGUAGUCCACGCCCUAAACGAUGUCUACUAGUUGUCGGGUUUUAAUUAACUUGGUAACGCAGCUAACGCGUGAAGUAGACCGCCUGGGGAGUACGGUCGCAAGAUUAAAACUCAAAGGAAUUGACGGGGACCCGCACAAGCGGUGGAUGAUGUGGAUUAAUUCGAUGCAACGCGAAAAACCUUACCUACCCUUGACAUGGUCGGAAGUCCGGAGAGAUCUGGAUGUGCCCGCAAGGGAACCGAUACACAGGUGCUGCAUGGCUGUCGUCAGCUCGUGUCGUGAGAUGUUGGGUUAAGUCCCGCAACGAGCGCAACCCUUGUCAUUAGUUGCUACGAAAGAGCACUCUAAUGAGACUGCCGGUGACAAACCGGAGGAAGGUGGGGAUGACGUCAAGUCCUCAUGGCCCUUAUGGGUAGGGCUUCACACGUCAUACAAUGGUACAUACAGAGGGCCGCCAACCCGCGAGGGGGUGCUAAUCCCAGAAAGUGUAUCGUAGUCCGGAUUGCAGUCUGCAACUCGACUGCAUGAAGUUGGAAUCGCUAGUAAUCGCGGAUCAGCAUGUCGCGGUGAAUACGUUCCCGGGUCUUGUACACACCGCCCGUCACACCAUGGGAGCGGGUUUUACCAGAAGUAGGUAGCUUAACCGUAAGGAGGGCGCUUACCACGGUAGGAUUCGUGACUGGGGUGAAGUCGUAACAAGGUAACC
RNAcentral lists this ribosomal RNA (1495 nucleotides) under uncultured bacterium. RNAcentral's name for it is "bacterial SSU rRNA". It matches the Rfam family "Bacterial small subunit ribosomal RNA". The record is from RNAcentral.